UUAUAAGGUGGGCAUGCGUGGGGCUCCUUGUGAGCGCCGGGUUUCUAAUUUUCGACCGGUCUACCAACCCACGUAUGCCCGCCACCCUU
Molecule: non-coding RNA, 89 nt
Filed under: Pseudomonas sp. SJZ131
Lineage: Bacteria; Pseudomonadati; Pseudomonadota; Gammaproteobacteria; Pseudomonadales; Pseudomonadaceae
Source: RNAcentral